This 69-nucleotide transfer RNA is filed under the name Pandalus japonicus. RNAcentral's name for it is "tRNA-Cys". The record is from RNAcentral. Lineage: Eukaryota; Metazoa; Arthropoda; Malacostraca; Decapoda; Pandalidae.
AAGUCUCGUGGUGAAAUUAAAUCACACUGGUUUGCAAAUCCAGAGGAGUGGCGAAGGCCACCUGACUUU